GGCGGCGGUGGUGCCGGGCGCCUUCGCCUGGGCGGGUCCCCCGGCGGCGUCGGAGAAGGGGUCGUAGGAGGCGGCGUAGGAGGCGCUGUAGCACCGGAGGUUCAGCCCCGGCGUGGGUCCUCCGGAGACGGACUUGGUGCUGCCGCUCCGCUGCACGGCGGCGGCGGGGGGGCGCGACCAGGAGCUGUUGCUCCUGGCGAGCUGCUGCGGCGGCGGCUUGGUGGUCGGCGCGGGGGCGUAGCGGGCGGCGUAGGAGGCGCUGUGGGAGCGGAGGUCGAUCGCGGGGGCUGCGGGCUUGAAGGCGGAGCUCCUCUCGGCGCAGGACACCGACCUCUCCAUGGGCAUCUUCUUUGGCUCGCUCUCUCUGUCUCUG
RNAcentral lists this long non-coding RNA (373 nucleotides) under Brachypodium distachyon (stiff brome). Its description in RNAcentral is "long non-coding RNA (BDIS_LNC002899)". The record is from RNAcentral. Lineage: Eukaryota; Viridiplantae; Streptophyta; Magnoliopsida; Poales; Poaceae.